UCCCAAACCCAUGUGAACUUACCAUUGUUGCCUCGGCAGAACCUACCCGGUACCUACCCUGUAACGACCUACCCUGUAGCGAGUUACCCGGGAACGGCCUACCCUGUAGUGCGCUGCCGGUGGACCUCUUAACUCUUGUUAUUUUAUAGUAAUCUGAGCGUCUUAUUUUAAUAAGUCAAAACUUUCAACAACGGAUCUCUUGGUUCUGGCAUCGAUGAAGAACGCAGCGAAAUGCGAUACGUAAUGUGAAUUGCAGAAUUCAGUGAAUCAUCGAAUCUUUGAACGCACAUUGCGCCCAUUAGUAUUCUAGUGGGCAUGCCUGUUCGAGCGUCAUUUCAACCCUUAAGCCUAGCUUAGUGUUGGGAGCCUACUGUAUUGUAGCUCCCCAAAUCCAACGGCGGAUCUGUGGUAUCCUCUGAGCGUAGUAAUUUUUAUCUCGCUUUUGUUAGGUGCUGCAGCUCUCAGCCGCUAAACCCCCCAAUUUUUUAAUGGUUGACCUCGGAUCAGGUAGGAAUACCCGCUGAACUUAAGCAUAUCAAUAA
This 542-nucleotide ribosomal RNA is filed under the name Seimatosporium lichenicola. Its description in RNAcentral is "eukaryotic LSU rRNA". The stretch from base 180 to 333 matches the Rfam family "5.8S ribosomal RNA". Lineage: Eukaryota; Fungi; Ascomycota; Sordariomycetes; Amphisphaeriales; Sporocadaceae. The record is from RNAcentral.